GCGGGCGUAACUCAGUGGUAGAGUGUUUGCUUCCCAAGCAAAAAGUCGUGGGUUCGACUCCCAUCGCCCGCUCCA
This 75-nucleotide transfer RNA is filed under the name Chloroflexota bacterium. Its description in RNAcentral is "Chloroflexi bacterium tRNA-Gly". It matches the Rfam family "tRNA". From Rfam's summary of the family: Transfer RNA (tRNA) molecules are approximately 80 nucleotides in length. RNAcentral also lists the same sequence under 2 other names. Lineage: Bacteria; Bacillati; Chloroflexota. The record is from RNAcentral.